UACGAAGGGUGCAAGCGUUACUCGGAAUUACUGGACGUAAAGCGUGCGUAGGUGGUUCGUUAAGUCUGAUGUGAAAGCCCUGGGCUCAACCUGGGAAUUGCAUUGGAUACUGGCGAGCUAGAGUGCGGUAGAGGAUGGCGGAAUUCCCGGUGUAGCAGUGAAAUGCUUAGAUAUGACAUGGAACACCAAUUGCGAAGGCAGCUUACUACACAGUUAUUGACGCUGAGGCACGAAAGCGUGGGGAUCAAACAGG
RNAcentral lists this ribosomal RNA (253 nucleotides) under uncultured bacterium. RNAcentral describes it as "partial 16S ribosomal RNA". It matches the Rfam family "Bacterial small subunit ribosomal RNA", at positions 524 to 776 of the family's 1533-position model. The record is from RNAcentral.